GACGAACGCUGGCGGCGUGCCUAAUACAUGCAAGUCGAACGCAGUGGGGACGGGUGAGUAACACGUGGGUAACCUCCCAUCAGAGGGGAUAACACUUGGAAACCGGUGCUAAACCGAUACUGAUGGAUGGACCCGCGGUGCAUUAGCUAGUUGGUGAGGUAACGGCUCACCACGGCCACGAUGCAUAGACGAGCUGAGAGUGGGAUCGGCAACACUGGUCCUGAGACACGGCCAAGACUCCUACGUGAGGCAGCAGUAGGGAAUCUUCGGAAAUGGACAAAAGUCUGACCGAGCAACGCCGCGUGAGUGAAGAAGGUUUUCGGAUCGUAAAACUCUGUUGUUAGAGAAGCGGUAUCUAACCAGAAAGCCACGGCUAACUACGUGCCAGCAGCCGCGGUAAUUC
This 403-nucleotide ribosomal RNA is filed under the name uncultured bacterium. RNAcentral describes it as "partial 16S ribosomal RNA". It matches the Rfam family "Bacterial small subunit ribosomal RNA", at positions 28 to 526 of the family's 1533-position model. The record is from RNAcentral.